Molecule: unclassified non-coding RNA, 209 nt
Filed under: Hevea brasiliensis (rubber tree)
Lineage: Eukaryota; Viridiplantae; Streptophyta; Magnoliopsida; Malpighiales; Euphorbiaceae
Source: RNAcentral
UAAUAAAUUGGGGGCUCUGCCUUAGUCCUGAAAAACACAUCCCAGAAAUAAUUAACAAUGUGUCAAAAGUGAUGAAGAAAGUACUAAGUAAUUCUAUCUAAAAUCCUGCAAAGCAGCAGGAACAUUCACUCAUCAGGUUCCUUCAACACUACUAUGCACAUGAACAGAAACUUAUCUUUGUCUCAAUAAAACUGUGAAUAUGGACACUG